GGAGGAGUACCCAAGUCCGGCUGAAGGGGACGGUCUCGAAAACCGUUAGGAGCUUUACGGCUCGCGAGGGUUCGAAUCCCUCCUCCUCCG
This 90-nucleotide transfer RNA is filed under the name Actinophytocola xinjiangensis. Its description in RNAcentral is "tRNA-Ser". It matches the Rfam family "tRNA". Rfam says of the family: Transfer RNA (tRNA) molecules are approximately 80 nucleotides in length. RNAcentral also lists the same sequence under 1 other name. Lineage: Bacteria; Bacillati; Actinomycetota; Actinomycetes; Pseudonocardiales; Pseudonocardiaceae. The record is from RNAcentral.